GGAUCUUUAGCUCAGUUGGUUAGAGCAUCCGGCUCAUAACCGGACGGCCUGGGGUUCGAGUCCCUAAAGGUCCACCA
Molecule: transfer RNA, 77 nt
Filed under: Clostridium cellulovorans 743B
Lineage: Bacteria; Bacillati; Bacillota; Clostridia; Eubacteriales; Clostridiaceae
Description: tRNA-Ile2 (CAT) (tRNA-Ile2-CAT-1-1, tRNA-Ile2-CAT-1-2)
Rfam family: tRNA
About the family: Transfer RNA (tRNA) molecules are approximately 80 nucleotides in length. Their secondary structure includes four short double-helical elements and three loops (D, anti-codon, and T loops).
Source: RNAcentral